GGAGCACGCCGGACCGCCGCUGGUGCAUAACCCGGAAGGGCGCAUUGGAGGAAAGUCCGGACUGCAUAGGACGGCGCAGGAGCUAACGGCUCUCCACCGCGAGGUGAGGAUCAGAGCAACAGAGACGAGUCCCGGCGGACGCAAGUUUUCCGGGGGUGAAACGGGCAAUCUCUGCGCGCAGCAAUACCAAGUAGGCCGGCACGGAGUGCGGCGCUUCGGCGCUGGCGCUUCCAUCCCGUGGUCCGCGGGACGCCGGCGGGUAGGUAGCACCGAGCCGCCCGGGUGACCGGCGGCCCAGAUGAAUGGCGGUCACGCUGGCGGCAACGCCAGUGCACAGAAUCCGGCUUACAGGCGGGCUCCACAU
RNAcentral lists this RNase P RNA (364 nucleotides) under Burkholderiaceae bacterium. Its description in RNAcentral is "RNase P RNA component class A". It matches the Rfam family "Bacterial RNase P class A". Rfam says of the family: Ribonuclease P (RNase P) is a ubiquitous endoribonuclease, found in archaea, bacteria and eukarya as well as chloroplasts and mitochondria. Lineage: Bacteria; Pseudomonadati; Pseudomonadota; Betaproteobacteria; Burkholderiales; Burkholderiaceae. The record is from RNAcentral.